RNAcentral lists this ribosomal RNA (208 nucleotides) under uncultured bacterium. Its description in RNAcentral is "partial 16S ribosomal RNA". It matches the Rfam family "Bacterial small subunit ribosomal RNA", at positions 29 to 229 of the family's 1533-position model. The record is from RNAcentral.
AACGAACGUUAGCGGUGUGGAUUAGGCAUGCAAGUCGAGCGUGAAAGUCCGCAAGGACGAGUAAAGCGGCGAAAGGGUGAGUAACACGUAACCAAUCUAUCCACGAGACCGGAAUAACCGGCGGAAACGCUGGCUAAUGCCGGAUGGUCCUGUCGGGAGGCAUCUCCCGACACGUAAACGGUGGCGCAAGCUGCUGCUCGAGGAGGGG